RNAcentral lists this unclassified non-coding RNA (292 nucleotides) under uncultured fungus. Its description in RNAcentral is "partial internal transcribed spacer 1". The record is from RNAcentral. Lineage: Eukaryota; Fungi.
CUUUAUUAAGUCGGCGACGAGAUACUAACAAAGCAUUAUAGAUGAGAAUUUGAUAUAGAUCAUAUCUCGCCUGGCUUAUAGGCCCGUAAGUCGCAUGGCUUUUAUGCAAUUACGGUGUAACUUUUUGAUUAUCCUAAUAAAAAUAAAUUUUAAAAAUUAUAAAUAGAGUUGAAUUUUUUCCUGGCUCCUCCUGCUGCACGGUUAAUUAAUAUGGAGUAAUCAACAAAUAAAGUAACAUCACUAUGUCAAUUAAUUUAAUGUCAACAACCAAUAUUUAGCCUUGUUAUUACAU